Long non-coding RNA from Herpailurus yagouaroundi (jaguarundi), 124 nucleotides. RefSeq lists it as uncharacterized. The transcript is spliced from 3 exons. The record is from RefSeq and is a predicted model, not a curated record. NCBI's taxonomy places the organism in Eukaryota, Metazoa, Chordata, Mammalia, Carnivora, Felidae.
ACAUGCCCAAGAAUGUGCAGAGGUAGGUGUGGUCUCUCCCCAGGAAGGCAGGCACCAGGUGCUCCACUCGCUGUUCCAAUAGCAUCCAGCCUCCUUCGAUGCUCUAUUCCUAGAGAAAGGGAGA